Molecule: ribosomal RNA, 253 nt
Filed under: uncultured bacterium
Lineage: Bacteria
Description: partial 16S ribosomal RNA
Rfam family: Bacterial small subunit ribosomal RNA
Source: RNAcentral
UACGUAGGGGGCAAGCGUUGUCCGGAUUUAUUGGGCGUAAAGAGCGUGUAGGCGGCUUUACAGGUCCGUUGUGAAAACUCGAGGCUCAACCUCGAGACGCCGGUGGAAACCGUAAAGCUAGAGUCCGGAAGAGGAGAGUGGAAUUCCUGGUGUAGCGGUGAAAUGCGCAGAUAUCAGGAGGAACACCCGUGGCGAAAGCGGCUCUCUGGGACGGUACUGACGCUGAGGAGCGAAAGCGUGGGGAGCAAACAGG